ACCUCUAUAAUUAAUCGUCUCAGAAGAAAAAGAAGAAGAUGAUGAUGAUGACGAUAAUGUAGAAGAAGAAGAUGAAAAUAAUUUUUCUUUCUCUGCGACGUAAUUUUUUGGUGCUGCGAUAUAUUCCCACUCGUCAUCAUCUCCUGCACAUACCAUGUUCGAUCCACGAGUAAGACAACAAUUCCCCAUCUCUGUGAAAUUAGUUGAGAUACUGUAAAUUGAUCAAAACACUACGAUUGUAAUAAAGAAAAAUGAAGUACUUCUAAAUCUACUAAUUUUCAUUAAUAUGUUUUGUGUAAUGAAAAGAAGUGGAGAUUUAUGAUUUACAUGGUACAUCAACAUUUACUAGACACAAUGUCCGUACAAGCACGGGCCCAACAUGUGUUACUUUUUAAUUUCAAUUUAUAUAAUAUAAAUAAAUUUUGAAGAGUCAAUUAAAAUUUUUGUAUGAUCUUUAAAUAUUUUAAAUUUUUAGGAGUCGUUUAGUUGGAAAAGAUAGAAAAAGACUGUUGCUUUUAGACUAUUUACAAUUUUUAAAAUUGUAAUAUGCAAUUAUUUAUAACUUAAUAAUUGUUUUGGAAUAUCAAAAAUAGAUGUCUAGCUACAUUAUGUAACUUUUGUGACUUAUCAAGUCCGUGGAGAAUUCUUUAAUUUGUUGGAAUAGAAUUGUUGAAAUAUAUCUUGAAUUUUUGUAAGUUACAUUAUAGAAUUUUUUGUGAUAAUACUGUUUAUGACAAUAUUUUUUAAUUUGUAGCAGUGAAUUUUUAUAUUUGUGGCAUAACCUAUAUGUAAUUAUAAAAAAUAUGACAUAUAUUUUCACUUUUUAUAGCAAAUUAUUAUCUACGAUUUAUGUAUUUUUUGAUAAAAAGAAUGAAUCAUAAGCCAUGCAUAAAAAUAUUUGUGGCAAAUACUUCUUAUAGUUAUAGAUUUUCUAAAUCGUAGCUAAAUAUGAAAUUAAAAUAUAAAAUAGCGACAAAUUUUAAAUUUUCAUAGCAAAAUUUUUUCGUCUUUUGCCAUAAUAGAAUACAUUGUGGCUACAUUUUAAAGAUUAGUAUGAAUUUUAUUUAUCGUGGCAAAAGAGUAAACUAUUAGCUAUAAUAAAUAUAUGUUUCGUAGCAAGAAUUUUUUUUUAUCAUCACAGCUACAACAAUUUUUUUUUUGUAGCUGUAAGUAGUAAUCCUUAGCCACAGGUCAUGUAAAGUCUGUAGCUAACUUUUAAUUACACCGCUUCUUGCUACGAAAGAUACGAAAAAGAAAACUGUGUCUAAAGUGUUUACCCUUGGAAAUUUUCAUAUUUAGCUACGAGAUAUUCUGUAGCUUUACAUGUCUUAUAUCGUAGUGGCUAUAAAAAAACCACAAUAUCGCACAAAUGGUACCAAAAUGUAUUGGGAUCAUGUCAAUUAACUCACACCCCAUAAAUGUCAUAAUGCAACUACGAGAAAGGAUAAAACAAUCAAAUCACACAAAAACACACAAUUCACAUAUUUCAUCAAAAAACUGAUCGUAACAAUUUAUUUUUUUGUGUGCUUGAAUUUUAAUCAUAUAAAUGUCAAAUAAUAAUUGUGAUAUUUAUAUUUCAAUCACUUUCUUAUAAUUCCGAAUAUAUCAGAUCUAAUCACUAACGUGAACAAUUUUAUGCAUUACUGAGUCUUCUAUAUCAUAUUGUUUUGACUUGUGAGAUGUGUCCGCAGGCUGCAUUUUACCUAUAAAAUAUUGAAUAAUUAUUAAUCAAAUUAAUAGUUAUGAGAUGUGUCUGCAGGCUGCAUUUUACCUAUAAAAUAUUGAAUAAUUAUUAAUCAAAUUAAUAGUUAUGAGAUGUGUCUGCAGGCUGCAUUUUACCUAUAAAAUAUUGAAUAAUUAUUAAUCAAAUCAAUAAUUGCUCAUUACAUAUAUAUGGUAUAUUAUGAUAUGCAUUAUGAUCCCCACUGCCACUUGUGUAUAUUUUAAAUUUUAUUUUUAUUUUCUAGCACCAAAGACCAAACACAAGGGUAUAUAUUUUAAAUUUUGUUACCUAACACCAAACAUAAGGAUCUAACAAUUAAUGAGCAAACAGUCCUACACGUAGAGACGAAGCCAGAAUUUCAAUUAAGGGGGUUCAAUAUUCGAAGAAAAUCUAGUCAAAGAGGGUUCAACACCUACUAUAAAUACAUAAAAAUAAUUAAGUUAUGUGUGUGAAUUAAAUGAAUGGUUUUUGGAUGCUUCCUGAAUUUGUCGUCCCAUCCCAUAUAUGUUGUUCGAGUCUUAAAUGAGUUCAAGCCACUGAUCACUUUUGGCUUCUUUUCCCAAAACAGGGACUACAUGGCUCAAAUCUAUACUUAUUCCUUCCAUCAUCGUCAUUAUUGAUCAAUCGCCAUCCUCAUGAUCUUGUGAGGGGAGCCGUGGAGUAACUGGUAAAGUUGCUGCCAUGUGACCACGGGUUCAAGACUUGGAAACAACCCUCUGGCAGAGAUGCAAGGUAAGGCUACGUAUGAUAUCCCAUUAUAUCUUCAUCACCAGGGGUGGAGCUACGGCCACCGAAGGGUGGUCAGAUGAACACCCUUCGUCGGAAAAAAAUUUCAAGUAUAUAAGUGUUAAAUAUAGAUAUUUAUGGAUAUAUACAUAUUGUUGAACAUUCUUGAUUAGCUAAAGAAGCAUAGCUUAUUGGUCAAGGGUGUGCAAAUCUGCAGCAGCGGUUUUUAUUUUUUUUUUUGGAUAUUCAAAUUUCCUUAUUUUACUUCUUGGAUGCCAAUUGCUAACAAUGCUUUCUUCAGAAAAGGUGGCAUUGGGGAUCACAACAAUUGCAGUUUCAUGCUGCUGGUUUCAUGUAUGGGAUUUAAUUAAUUAAUUAACAUGCAAUUAAUUGUAUCUUGUUCUAUUUCAUUUGCUCUUAAUUAUAUAUUAUUGCAAUUGCGUUUCACCAAAAUAAGACUUCUGUUUUUUAUUUUCUUGUUCGUUUCCUUAUUAAUUUCUCUUUUGAGUUGUACUUUGUAAGAUGAGUUCUUUUUUAAUGUCAAAUCAAAUUAUUGUAUUUUCAAAGUUGCAUGGUAAUUUCUGUCGAUUUUGUCCUUCAACGUUUUAAUUUUCUCUUCGGACAUGCUUUAUGCUCAACUAAUUACUAAAAUGAUUUUACUACCUAAUUUGGUUUGGACUUUGGAGAUUAAGAUUGAUUGAAAAGAGAGAGUUGGUCGAAUGAUAAACACCCCUCACUUCUAAUCAGUGACGAAGCCAGAGUUUGGGCUAAGCACCAGGAAUCGAACCUAGGUUGUUGCAGCAGAUUUGCACACCCUUGACCAAUCGGCUAUGCUUCUUUAGCUUGUCAAGGGUAUUCAACAAUAUAUAUAUAACCAUAAAUAUCUAUAUUUAACGUAUAUACUCGAAAAUUUUUUUCGAAGGGUGUUCAUCUGACCACCCUUCGAUGGCUGUAAUUCCGCCCCUGGUUCCAAUUUAGGAUUGUGAGUUUGAGUCAUCAAAGAAGCAAAAAGGUGGGAGCCACUAGGGAGGAGUAUAAAAAAACAUUAAAAAAUUAUUAAAUGGAUUAAGAUUGAUUGAAAAUAUAAAGUAAUAUUCUUGAUAGGAUUAAUUUACGUUUUUUAAUUAUUCUGAUUUACAAUAUUUUUCUUCCAUUCCAAAUUAAGUGACACCGGUAUAAUUUCGAGAGUCCAUCAAAUAUUUAAUAUCUUUUAAUUUUUUUAAGUUGUUAGUUAUUGUGAUUUAUAAUAUUUCUUACGUAUUCAUUUGGUCUCAAUUUAUGUGACGUAAAUAAAAUUUAGAUAAUCACUUGCAUUUUUAAUAUAUAUUUUUUUUUUAGAUAUUUUAAGUUGUUAGCUAUUGUAAUUUAUAAUACUCUCUCCUUGUCCAAACUUUUGUGCUAUUGAUAGUCAAUUAUAUUUUAAAAAUAAUUUAAGGUUUUAAUUAUUAUGAUUCAUAAUACUUUUUGUUCUAUUCAUAUUUAAGUGAUACCGAUAUAAUUUGGAGAGUCAACCAAAUAUUACGAUUGAAAUAACGAAGCAGACAUGUCUCGAAUGACUCUUAAUAACUAAUUACAAGUGAUAUAACAAAAUUUCUAUAAAAAAAUACUUGUGAAAAAAGUUUAAAUGGGUCUCAUAUAAGACGUCAAAUUAAUAUAAAACAUCAAGAGUUAAUUUAUCAUUUUAUGUCAAUUUUAUUUUUCUUGUUAAAUAUUAUUAAUUUUUAAUACUUAAAUGACCUAUAAUAGCUAAUUAAGGUGAUAUAGUAAAAUAACGGUUUAAGCAGCUAAAAUAGACAUGUCAUAAAUGUCUAUUUUUAUUUUUUUACUAAAUAUUAUUAAUUUUUUAAUAAUUAAAUGACCUAUAAUAAUUAAUCAGGGAUGAUAUACUAAAAUCACGGGUAGAAGCAGCUGAAACGGACAUGUCAUAAAUGUUUAUUUUCUUUUUUGUUAUUAUAUAUUAGUAAUUUUUUAAUAUGUUAAUGUUUUAUAAUAAUUAAUUAGAGGUGAUAUAGCAAAAUUAUGGGUUGAAACAACUGAAAUAGCUAUUUGAUAAAUGAUUUUUUUUACUUGAAUAUUAUUAUUUUUUAAAUAUGUAAAUAAUUUAUAAUAAUUAAUUAAGUAUAAUAUAAUAUAUUAAAAUUAGGUGUUGAAACAACUGAAUUAUUAUUAUGGGUGGUGGGCGUGGGGUGAGGAAGGUGGUGGGAAGGACAUAAAAUAAGAAAUAGUCUUUUUUUCUAUUUAUAGACAAUUAUUAUUAUGGGUGGGAAACAAGGACGAUUAGGUCAACAAUCUACUAUUAUUCAAUUUACUCUAUCUCUAAUAUUUUGCUUUGACAAUUUAUUUGUCUGUUACAAUUUACAUUGCUUUCUUGCUCAAUUACAUUUUUCAUCACUUGAAAGUUUCUCGAAAAUAGUCUCAGUAUUCUAAAAAGAUUUAUUUGUGUCCCAUUGAAUGUGCGCCGAGUAGAGCCCCAUUCGAAGGUAACGCUCCCUGUUUAAAUUUUUUUUUUUUUUUGGUGUUCCAUUCAGUGUGCGCUGAGUAGAGCCCCAUUCGGGGGUAGCGCUACCUCCCAAGAAUUUUUCCAUACCCAGAGCUUGAACUCGAGACCUCUGGUUAAGGGAGAAGCAGCUCCAUCCAUUGCACCACAUUCUUUGGUAGUUCCGCAAAGAUAGAUAUAAGAUUUUCAUAUAUUAUACCUUCUUCAUAUAUACCUUAUUUAUGACAUUAUGCUAAGUAUAUUAGUGUUGUUUCAGGUGUAUUUUUCAUGAGUAUCGAAAUAGUUUCGAUAUUCUGUAAAGAUAGAGAUGAGAUUUUCAUAUAUUAUAUCUUCCUCAUAUACACUCUAUUUAUGAGAUUACGCUAAGUAUAUUAUUGUUGUUUCACUUUAAUUACGUGAUAAAGUUUGAACGAGUACAAAGUUGAAAAGAUUUUUUUUUCUUUUGAAACUUAUAAUCAUAACAUGUCGCAUGUGAACGUAUAACUAUAAAUUUUUUCAUAUUAUUUGUGUGACUAGAAAAGAUUUUUAUUAUUAAGAAUAAAAUAAAAAGUUUUAAGUUAAAUUAUAUCUAAAUUUAGGAAGUUAUCAUUCUUUUUUUUGAAUAGAUAAGAGAAAUAUUAUCACAUAAAUUAAAAUGGUAGGAGAAAUAAAUAGUAGGGAUUCUCGAAGUAGUCUGAAACACUAUCCAAAAUAUCUACAAAUUUUGAAUAAAGAAAAAAAAAACCUUUGGAAAAAUUUAAUAUUUUAUUUAAGUGAAUGUAUGUAAGAUUGACCUUUUUUUUUUGGUUAAACAAAUGUAAGAUUGAUCUUGUAAUGUAAAAUUUGAUAUUUUAUGUGAAUCUUGUACUUAAUUUAGUCUUCUAUUACUUUUAAAAAAUAUCCACUUGAUGUUUAGUGUUCAUAUAUUAUGGACGAUGAUUAAUUUAGAUUUAUACUGUAUAAUCAUUAAAUGAAAAUACGCUUCAUAUAAAAAUUUUCUCAAUGCUCAAAUUUCAGAGACCUCUAAUUAAGGUACGAAGAAUCGUGCCCAUUCCAUCACAAUCCUCAUUGAUCACACUUGUUUUACCUACCAUUAUCAUCAUGAAGUCAUGUUUAUUUUGUGUUUAUUUAGUGUUCAUGAGUCAUAACUAAUUUGAAUUCGCCUCACAACUCAGAAGAACCGUUAAAUGGAAAAGCACUUCGUACUCAAAUUUUCUUAAUGCCUAACCUCAUAUCUUUUAAUUUAUUGAGAGCUCAGGAAUUCUGUUCAUUCUAUCACAAUCUUCGAUGAUCACACUUAUAAGUAAUUACACAAUACUAUGUCAUCUAUGAAUAACAUUCACCACGCUACCUCUCCUUGAAUAUGUCAUUUACAAUUCAUUCAACACCCAGAUAAAUAGAAACGGGAUAAGAGCUGACUGUUGGUGCGACUCCAUCACGAUUGAAAAGUAUUUCAAGUCACCUUUCACUGUUCUAACUCAGGUCUGACUCUAUCAUACAUAUCCUUAAUUAUCCUAAUAUAACUAACCAACAUGGGUUGUGGUGCAUUGGAUGGGGCUGUUCCACCCUUAACCAGAGGUCGAGGGUUCGAUCCUGGGUAUGGAGAAAACUCUGUUGGGAGCGCUGCCACCUUAAUGGGCCCCGCAACGCGCUAUCCGGAUUAAUCGGGACUCCAAUGCAGACACCGAACACUCUAUGAAAAACCAAAAAAUAAAUUUAUCCUAAUAUAGGCCACACAUACAUCUUUAGACUCCAAACAUUUCCAAAGGACCUCUCUAAGGCUUUACUGCAAGUGUUUUCUAAGUGUAAGUCUCUCAUUUUGUCCUCAGUUAUAUUGGUCUUACUUAAGUCAAAUUUAGAAUUUAAAGCAUUCAUAGUAAGGUUAAUUUAAUAAAAUAUAUUUUUAAUUAAAUUUUUUUAAAAAAAUAUGUCAAGCCAAUAAGAACCAAGUAAAAUAAAAAGAAAAAAGUAAUUAAGUUACAAGCAUUGACCAUGUAAAAACUUGACUUUGUCUAUUGGCAAAGCUCUUAAGAUAUGCUUUUACUAAACAAGAUUAAAAAGCCUAAUUUUGGAAUUAUCAAUAUGAUACAAACCUAAUCAGCUGGCUAAUUAUUUAAGGGGUCUUACUAAUUAUCCAUAUAUUAAUAUACAAUAAUACCUACAGUAAAUAUAUUAUAUAUGGUCAGUGAAAAAAAGAGGUUGAUGUAUUAAAGUUCCCGUUAUAUGUGAGGUCGGGAGAAGGGUCGGAUCAUAAGAAUCUAUUAUACGGAGCCUUACCGUGCAGUUCUGCAAGAGGGUAUUUUCACGACUUAAAUCCGCGACCAUCCUGAUCACAUGACAAUAACUUUAUCGGUUUAUGAAUUUGGAAUUAACAAUUUAUACAAUCAAAUUUAUUACCACAACUCACAAUAACUUUAGUGAAACAAAUUCAUAGUUGUAUUACAAUUAUUUUAUAACCCAUUAGGUCAAGUGAUUUACAAAAAAGUCUCAUAUGUAUAUUUUAUCCUAAACAAGCAUGCAAAAAUAGCAUAUGAAAUUUUAAUGAAUUUGAAAGAAAUUAUAUUGAAAAAUAAUCUAUGUGAUUUCAUCAAAUGAAUUUCCAUCAAAGUAGAUAAUACUUAUUUAUCAUCAAAUAUUUAAUAUAAUUUCAUAAAAUCUAAUUUUCUUCAAAUAAUGAAUUUGAGGAAAAAGGAAAAUCAUAUUAUGAAUAUGAAUAUCUAAAACUUAAUUUUAAAUUAAUUCUGAACUACUAAUGUUUGGUCUAAACAAAUAUAGAUUUAUUUAUAUUCAAAAGCUUUCAAAAGAAAUAGUCAACUUUAUACAACAAAUUUUGUUAAAUUCUUUACAAUAUCAUCAAAUAAAUGGACACACCUAAAACCUAAGAAAGUAUAGACAAAAAGGGAUUUAUAAAUACAUGUACUAUAAAAUAUAUUAUGUUCGUUGUGUACAUCUAAUCGACUCAUUUUGAAUACAUAUAUUGAUUAUGAAAUUUUAGAUUCGUCUCUGCUAUUAAUUAACUUCAGGAAUGCUCUGAAGACGAGGCCUCCAAGAUUGUUGACGUUGAAUAUUCUCAAAAUCGAAGUUAUUUUUGCUAGAAUUCAAAAAUCUUGAUAAUAGUUGAUCCAUUGUCACUUGAUCUAUAUUGUCAAUUUUUCCAGCUAGAAUUUUCUCCAAAUCCUUCUUCGUAAUUCGUAUUUUCACCUCUCUAUAAUUAAUCGUCUCAGAAGAAGAAAAAGAUGAUGAUGAUGAUGAUGAAGUAGAAGAUGAAAAUAAUUUUUCUUUUUCUGCAACGUAAUUAUUUUUUGAUGCUGCAACAUAUUCCCACUCAUCUUCAUCUCCUGCACAUACCAUGUUCGAUCCACGAGUAAGACAACAAUUCCCCAUCUCUGUGAAAUUAGCUGAGAUAUCGUAAACUGAUCUCAACACUACGAUUGUAAUAAAGAAAAAUGAAGUACUUGUAGAUAUGCUAUUUUUUCAUUAAUAUGUUUGUGUAAUGAAAAGAAGUGAAGAUUUGUGAUUUACAUGAUACAUCUAUAUUUUAUAUACAUCUAGGAGAGGGGUGGGGUGGGGUGGGGGUGACGAAGGUGGG
RNAcentral lists this long non-coding RNA (8514 nucleotides) under Capsicum annuum. RNAcentral describes it as "long non-coding RNA (CANN_LNC007403)". Lineage: Eukaryota; Viridiplantae; Streptophyta; Magnoliopsida; Solanales; Solanaceae. The record is from RNAcentral.